This 492-nucleotide ribosomal RNA is filed under the name uncultured bacterium. RNAcentral's name for it is "partial 16S ribosomal RNA". It matches the Rfam family "Bacterial small subunit ribosomal RNA", at positions 30 to 507 of the family's 1533-position model. The record is from RNAcentral.
AUUGAACGCUGGCGGCAUGCUUUACACAUGCAAGUCGAACGGUAACAGGCCUUCGGGUGCUGACGAGUGGCGAACGGGUGAGUAAUGCAUCGGAACGUGCCCAGAGGUGGGGGAUAACGCAGCGAAAGCUGUGCUAAUACCGCAUGUGAUCUGAGGAUGAAAGCGGGGGACCAAGCAGCAAUGUUUGGCCUCGCGCCUCUGGAGCGGCCGAUGUCAGAUUAGGUAGUUGGUGGGGUAAAGGCCUACCAAGCCGACGAUCUGUAGCUGGUCUGAGAGGACGACCGGCCACACUGGAACUGAGACACGGCCCAGACUCCUACGGGAGGCAGCAGUGGGGAAUUUUGGACAAUGGGCGCAAGCCUGAUCCAGCAAUGCCGCGUGAGGGAAGAAGGCCUUCGGGUUGUAAACCGCUUUUGUACGGAACGAAAAGGCUCUGGCUAAUACCUGGGGCUGAUGACGGUACCGUAAGAAUAAGCACCGGCUAACUACGUG